RNAcentral lists this ribosomal RNA (253 nucleotides) under uncultured bacterium. RNAcentral's name for it is "partial 16S ribosomal RNA". It matches the Rfam family "Bacterial small subunit ribosomal RNA", at positions 524 to 776 of the family's 1533-position model. The record is from RNAcentral.
UACAGAGACUGCAAGCGUUAUUCGGAUUCACUGGGCGUAAAGGGUGCGCAGGCGGCCGUGUGUGUGAGGCGUGAAAGCCUGGAGCUUAACUCCAGAAUUGCACCUCAAACUACACGGCUAGAGCAUUGGAGAGGGUAGCAGAAUUCACGGUGUAGCAGUGAAAUGCGUAGAUAUUGACAGGAACACCAGUGGCGUAAGCGGCUAUCUGGACCGACAUUGACGCUGAGACGCGAAAGCGUGGGGAGCAAACAGG